Molecule: long non-coding RNA, 2433 nt
Filed under: Homo sapiens (human)
Lineage: Eukaryota; Metazoa; Chordata; Mammalia; Primates; Hominidae
Description: non-protein coding lnc-UMODL1-8:1
Source: RNAcentral
GUAGUCCGCGGGCGGGCGCGGGGGGCGCAGGCGAGACCCUGGCGCGGCCGGGGGUCCUGCGGGUGGGACUGCGGGGCGCGGGCGGCGUGGACGGGGCAGCGGGCGCGCGCGGGGCGGGUCUGGCCGGAGGGAAUUCCGCGCGCGGCCCCCCUCCCACGUGGCACGGCCCUGCCGCCCACGCGCGCGGGCAGCUCCCUCUCCACCUCUCCUCGGACGCGUUUCUUGCGGAGUUGGGGAGUGGUGGCGGUGGGUGGGUCGAGUUUUUCUCUAGAACAGGCCUGGGACUUGCCCCCACUCACGGUGACCUCUGGAUUUGGCCGGCGGGGCCCUGGGACACGAGCUCUGUGCCCGCGAGGGGAGUCUGGCCUGGCGGGCUCCGCCACGCUACCGGUGAGCACCGGGCCAGCCGCGGACCUGGCUCUCCAUUCUUCCCCGGGGGCCUGUGUGGCCUCUCUUGACCCCCUCCACCAAGUGUGUGUGCCAUCACAAAACGUGAGACGGAGAAGGGACAGACUUUUCACCUUAGUCCUGGCCGCCCAUAUUCAGAGAGGCCGACUGUCUUGUUCAUUGCUGCCUGGCAAAAACCUACAUUCAUAAAGAGAAGUGAUGAACCGGGGAAAAUGAUUUUAAAUUGAUGCCACAAAAGGGCUCGUUUCCCUCAUGUACGUGAAACUCUUGUGAACCAAUAAAAAUAUAUAUGUAUAUAGAAAAAUGAGCAAAGUGUGUGGAUGGACAGUUCGUAGGAAAUUCAAUGGUUCUUAAGCAUAUGAGAAGCUAUUCAACUACGCUGCAAUAAGAGAAAAAAAGUCGCAGUGGGAUCAUUUUUAUUAGAUUAGCAAAGAUUUUUUAAAACGUUUAAUACAACCUGGGCAACAUAGCCAGACCUUGUCUCUAAAAAACUUAGCUGGGCUCGGUGGCACGUGCCCGUAGUCUCAGCUACUCAGGAGGCUGAGGCAGGAGGGUCACUUGAGUCCCACAGUUUGAGGCUGCAGUGAGCUGUGAUCGUGUCACUGCACUCCAGCCUGGGCAACAGAGUGAGACCCUGUCUCAAACAAAAACAAACAAAAAAAAGUUUUAAUAGCAUAAUUUUGAAGAAACUAGAGAAACAAGCUCCUUUACGGGUAGGAGAAUAAAUUAGCGUAGUUUCCAUUCAGAUAUUUGUGGAUAUCCAUAAAAAUUCUAAAUGCACAUAGCCUUUGACCCACAUGCAGGAAUGGUGCCAGAGACGGACUCGCUUGUAUGAAUGGCAUAUGUGAUCAUCACAUUUGCUUACAUACUACGUGCCAUCCCAUGGGAAGUGUUGGAUGCACCUGGGCACAUCCAUAGGCUGCAACGCCGGGCAGCCGGAGACAGAUUAGGCAAGUGUUGAUCUGUGAAGGCUGGUUUCUCUGCCUGGCCCAGCAUUCUACAGUGGCUUCCAUGUUGCACUAUAGUAGGCCAUCCCAUGGCCCCCCAGACCUUUCUGGAGCAUCCCCGGCGUCCACUGUCUCCCUGCUUGUCCCCACCUGCGACUUCAUGCCUCCCUCCAGCCUCCUGUCCCUGAAGCCUGUUCCCAAGGCCUUCUGUACUCUAUCUUCAAACACUUCCCAGGUUUUCCACAACCUUCUCUGUAUUCAGGUCUCCGCCCAACCCCACUCCCACCACCACCACUACAGCUAAUGGACAUUCCCUCUAUACACGCACCUCCAGUGACAUCACUCACAGUUCCAAAAUGGCCAGAUGACUGGUUCUGUGGGCCUCAGGACAUGAAACAGUCCUCGGCAUAUGUGAAUAAAAGGUUGUUUACACUAAAAAAGUGACAGGUCCACAGCAAGUGCGAAUAACUGAAAGUAAACCAAAGACUUCAACCUCCCCCAGGCCAUUUCUCCUAUUACUACAUACAGCCCACGGCUGGAAUUCACUUACACAAUAAUCGUCAUAUCUCGUCUUCAAGAGGAUUGUCAAUGUGUCCACUAUAAUCCUUCAGAACAAUCUAGAAAUAAUACCUCUUAAGGCAGAUUCAUCUCCAAAAUGUUAAAAGAAAAAAAAAAGUUUUAUCUUAAAGUGUCAAAUUUUCAUUAUUAACAAUUAAUGCAAUAUACAACUUUGAAAAAUGGGCAGAAAGAAAGAAAAAACAACUAUAAAGGUUGUUAUUGAGGAAAAUGGAAAAUCUGAACGUGAACAGUGAUACCGGAUAAUAGUAUUGGAUCAAUGUUAAAUUUCCCAAGGGUGAUCAUUGUAUUGAAAGUAUGGUAGCCCGUGCCAUUCAUUGUUCUCACCAAAUUGUUCUGAAGGAUUUAGGGUGAAAUAUUGUGAUAUCUGCAAACGUGACAGAGACCGAGAGAGAGCAGAUGUGGCAAAACUGGUGAAUCUAGGUGAAGGCUAUAUGGGUUGUUCCGUAGGUUUGAAAUUAAAAAUAAAUGAGUUGAAAAUUUAAAAAACAACAGACAAGAG